Molecule: long non-coding RNA, 870 nt
Filed under: Musa acuminata (dwarf banana)
Lineage: Eukaryota; Viridiplantae; Streptophyta; Magnoliopsida; Zingiberales; Musaceae
Description: long non-coding RNA (MACU_LNC000414)
Source: RNAcentral
UCAUUUCGAAGAAGUUCUUGGGAUGUAGGAUCUCCCUCUUGUGUCUUUUCUGCUGUUUCAUCUGCACUGAGGGUCACAUUGGCAUCAGGAGCAGGUUCCUGGACUAAACCGACAGUAGGUGGUUCGACAGGUUUGUCAUCUGUUACUAAUGGAUCAAUGGAAGAUGCCUUGUUGCUGUCUUCAGCUUCAACUGAAUUGAUGUUUCGAGUGUUCUUGUACAAAUUCAAAUUUACACCUUCCAAACUCUCAUUCCUCACCUCACCAAUCAAACCAACACCGUCAGAAGCUUUUACCUCUUCAGAAUUUCCAGCUACUUCAUUUUCAACAUUUACAGUAUUAUCUUGCUCAACAUUUUUAACAGUCACUUCUGGCUCCACAGCACAUUCAGGAACUUCAGUGGCAGGAGUGGUAUCAGACGCCUCUACAACACAUGUGACUGACACUUCUUUCUCUUCUGCAGAUUCCUUGUUGUGCUCAUCAGCAUUGUGAUCAUCGUCUGCCUUUUCAGUCGACAAUUUGGGAACAAUAUUUUCUCCUUCAAUCUCUUUAUUCUCAUCUAUAGAAGGAACUAUACCAAUUCCUUCCGAACUUACCAUUUCAACAGUUUCAUUAACCUGAUUGAUUGGAUCUUCAGUACCGGAUAAUGAGGUUUCGUUUCGAGGAAGUUCUUGUGACGUAGGCUCUCCCUCUUGGGACUUUUCUGCUGUUUCCUUUGCAUUGAGGGUCACAUUGGAAUCGGAAGCAGGUUCCUGGACUAAACCAACAGUAGGUGGUUCAACAGGUUUGUCAUCUGUUACUAAUGGAUCAAUGGAAGAUGCCUUGUUGCUGUCUUCCGCUUCAACUAAAUCGAUAUUUCGAGUGUUCUUGUAC